CUGGAGGGGAGGAAGCAGACAAAUUGUUGAUUGUUCAACAAUUUGUCUGCUUCCUCCCCUCCAGUGGUUCAUCUU
Molecule: non-coding RNA, 75 nt
Organism: Pelobates cultripes (western spadefoot toad)
Lineage: Eukaryota; Metazoa; Chordata; Amphibia; Anura; Pelobatidae
Source: the annotation of a GenBank genome assembly